Molecule: ribosomal RNA, 253 nt
Filed under: uncultured bacterium
Lineage: Bacteria
Description: partial 16S ribosomal RNA
Rfam family: Bacterial small subunit ribosomal RNA
Source: RNAcentral
UACGUAGGCAGCGAGCGUUGUUCGGAGUUACUGGGCGUAAAGAGUGCGUAGGCGGUUUCGUAAGUCUGGUGUGAAAUCUCCCGGCUUAACUGGGAGGGUGCGCCGGAAACUGCGAGGCUGGAGUGUGGGAGAGGCAAGCGGAAUUCCUGGUGUAGCGGUGAAAUGCGUAGAUAUCAGGAGGAACACCUGCGGUGUAGACGGCUUGCUGGACCACUACUGACGCUGAGGCACGAAAGCGUGGGGAGCAAACAGG